GAUAAGGUUAAGUGAAUAAGGGCGCACGGUGGAUGCCUUGGCACUAGGAGCCGAUGAAGGACGGGACUAACACCGAUAUGCUUUGGGGAGCUGUACGUAAGCUAUGAUCCAGAGAUUUCCGAAUGGGGGAACCCAGCAUCUUUAAUAGGAUGUUACGAUUGUGUGAAUACAUAGCACAUUCGAGGUAGACGCAGAGAACUGAAACAUCUAAGUACCUGCAGGAAGAGAAAGAAAAUUCGAUUCCCUGAGUAGCGGCGAGCGAAACGGGAAAAGCCCAAACCAACAAGCUUGC
RNAcentral lists this ribosomal RNA (292 nucleotides) under Enterococcus faecium. RNAcentral's name for it is "partial 23S ribosomal RNA". It matches the Rfam family "Bacterial large subunit ribosomal RNA", at positions 1 to 286 of the family's 2925-position model. Lineage: Bacteria; Bacillati; Bacillota; Bacilli; Lactobacillales; Enterococcaceae. The record is from RNAcentral.